This 58-nucleotide non-coding RNA is filed under the name Polaromonas sp. CF318. RNAcentral describes it as "chromate-resist RNA". It matches the Rfam family "chrB-b RNA". The record is from RNAcentral. Lineage: Bacteria; Pseudomonadati; Pseudomonadota; Betaproteobacteria; Burkholderiales; Comamonadaceae.
UCGGGAUUUCAGCCUCCCGACUCUUCACGAGAAUAGACGGUGUCCCGUCCAAGCGCUG